UGAAAUCCCCGGGCUCAACCUGGGAACUGCAUUCGAAACUGGCAGGCUUGAGUCUUGUAGAGGGGGGUAGAAUUCCAGGUGUAGCGGUGAAAUGCGUAGAGAUCUGGAGGAAUACCGGUGGCGAAGGCGGCCCCCUGGACAAAGACUGACGCUCAGGUGCGAAAGCGUGGGGAGCAAACAGGAUUAGAUACCCUGGUAGUCCACGCCGUAAACGAUGUCUACUUGGAGGUUGUGCCCUUGAGGCGUGGCUUCCGGAGCUAACGCGUUAAGUAGACCGCCUGGGGAGUACGGCCGCAAGGUUAAAACUCAAAUGAAUUGACGGGGGCCCGCACAAGCGGUGGAGCAUGUGGUUUAAUUCGAUGCAACGCGAAGAACCUUACCUGGUCUUGACAUCCACAGAACAUUCCAGAGAUGGAUUGGUGCCUUCGGGAACUGUGAGACAGGUGCUGCAUGGCUGUCGUCAGCUCGUGUUGUGAAAUGUUGGGUUAAGUCCCGCAACGAGCGCAACCCUUAUCCUUUGUUGCCAGCGGUCCGGCCGGGAACUCAAAGGAGACUGCCAGUGAUAAACUGGAGGAAGGUGGGGAUGACGUCAAGUCAUCAUGGCCCUUACGACCAGGGCUACACACGUGCUACAAUGGCGCAUACAAAGAGAAGCGACCUCGCGAGAGCAAGCGGACCUCAUAAAGUGCGUCGUAGUCCGGAUUGGAGUCUGCAACUCGACUCCAUGAAGUCGGAAUCGCUAGUAAUCGUGGAUCAGAAUGCCACGGUGAAUACGUUCCCGGGCCUUGUACACACCGCCCGUCACACCAUGGGAGUGGGUUGCAAAAGAAGUAGGUAGCUUAACCUUCGGGAGGGCGCUUACCACUUUGUGAUUCAUGACUGGGGUGAAGUCGUAACAAGGUAACCGUAGGGGAACCUGC
RNAcentral lists this ribosomal RNA (920 nucleotides) under Salmonella enterica. Its description in RNAcentral is "bacterial SSU rRNA". It matches the Rfam family "Bacterial small subunit ribosomal RNA", at positions 595 to 1515 of the family's 1533-position model. Lineage: Bacteria; Pseudomonadati; Pseudomonadota; Gammaproteobacteria; Enterobacterales; Enterobacteriaceae. The record is from RNAcentral.